This 448-nucleotide long non-coding RNA is filed under the name Pan troglodytes (chimpanzee). RNAcentral describes it as "long non-coding RNA NONPTRT016421". Lineage: Eukaryota; Metazoa; Chordata; Mammalia; Primates; Hominidae. The record is from RNAcentral.
AUCACACACACCUGUGUCCCUCCUAUACCCCCGAGGGUCUGAUUUGGUCCAUCAGGGGUUUAGUACUAGAUAUUGGGAUUUUUCUUUUUAAAAAAUAAUCAUGAAGACCCUUCAGAUGGCUUCCUUUCCCUUUCACUCUCCCAAAGGAAGAGAAGAGUGAUCGUCAGUGGCAAAAGGCAAUUGCAGAGAAGCACCACCAAGAGCCAGCUUCAUGCUCAGGAGUGAAUGCUGAGCUGUUUCCUCAUGGUUUCUGGUGCUCCACAUGUUCAGAGAAACUUCUCUGCUUAAUUUGCAGGCCCCCAGGUACUGAACUUAAGAGGAUAGAGGAAAAGUUUUUCCUCCCCGACACUGAGCAACCAGAGGCUGCUGUUAAGUAACCUUCCCUCAUUUCUACGUCUGUCCUCUGCCCCUUCCAGCCCCUCAACCCACAUUGUCUCUCAUGUUCCUA